GUGUAACCUGCCCAUCGGCUGCCCUGGUGGCCGUCAUAACACUGCCCCAAGCUGCCCCCUACAUCACGACCGGCGCCCGCCUCUCGACACCAGGACCGCCCAUCACAUCGUGGACGUCUCCUGCCGAGCCAGACACUCACGCCAGCUCCUGCCUCUCCUCCUCCAGCAACCAGAGUUAAGCAUUAUGAGUAUUCCCCCCGAAUCUCCCUUGUGCAGGUAGCUAGUUAGAUUAGAGGCAUACAGCCUGUCAUUCAUUCGUGGUUUGUUUUAGUACUCCGCUAACCUUUUAAAAAUGAAACCAAAUACAUAUUAAUAUAAAACCUUA
Long non-coding RNA from Eriocheir sinensis (Chinese mitten crab), 325 nucleotides. RefSeq lists it as uncharacterized. Lineage: Eukaryota; Metazoa; Arthropoda; Malacostraca; Decapoda; Varunidae. The record is from RefSeq and is a predicted model, not a curated record. The transcript has 2 exons.